This 253-nucleotide ribosomal RNA is filed under the name uncultured bacterium. RNAcentral describes it as "partial 16S ribosomal RNA". It matches the Rfam family "Bacterial small subunit ribosomal RNA", at positions 524 to 776 of the family's 1533-position model. The record is from RNAcentral.
UACGUAGGGUGCGAGCGUUAAUCGGAAUUACUGGGCGUAAAGCGUGCGCAGGCGGUUUUGUAAGCCAGAUGUGAAAUCCCCGGGCUUAACCUGGGAAUGGCAUUUGGGACUGCAAGGCUUGAGUGCGGCAGAGGAGACUGGAAUUCCCGGUGUAGCAGUGAAAUGCGCAGAUAUCAGGAAGAACACCAAUGGCGAAAGCAGCUCUCUGGGACGGUACUGACGCUGAGACGCGAAAGCGUGGGGAGCGAACAGG